CGAGAAAAUAACAACAGUGCUGGCGGCUCGCACACGAAUCAGAAUCUAAAGGUGUAGUCUAUAAAUCGAAACUUUUGUCCGUGAGGUAGGGAAGGGGGAAGGAGUGCGAGAGUAUUGGAUUUGGAAUUUUCAGGCGAGGUUGCGCGAGGCUCUCUGGCAUUCGCUUGAGAAUAUGUUGGCUGCACCUGUUGAGAGAACUUAACUGGAAGAAGAGACGGGGGGAAAUGAUAUCCACGUGCGGUUUGUCUUCACGCAGCAGGAGGCGCUGGUGUGAGCAUCAUUUCGCCAAGCAUUUAUCAAGUCGAUGGUCUCUUUCUAAAAAACGACAGCUAAAAGAGGCUCUAACACUUGCAUGAAAAGGUCGAUUACGUCGUUUUGCGAACAAGUCCGCUUUGUGAACCUUUAAGCGGGGUAAUCAAAGAUCAAACCAUUCGAUAAGAUUCCAGCUUUCCAAUUGUUUUGUAUAUGAAUUUUUUUAAGUCAAAAGUUGUUCGGUAUCUCCUAUGUCAUUCUCUUUGUAUCUAGAAUUUUGUUUCCAAUGGACCAUUUGGAUAUCGGUAAUCUUUCAUGGUCUUGCUUCAGUUAGGCAUAUUUAUACGCUAUAACAUGAAUGGUGCCGUAUGCUCGAUUGUAGAUAGUCAAAAUGAAGAUCUAACCACCUCGUCCUUUCGUCCCUUAGGAUUUUCUUUUGUUUUCAUGUGUUAGAUUUGCAUUGAAUGCACAGGGAUGGUAGGUAACAACUAACUUUUCAGAUCAAAACAAGCCAACUCAAACUCAACAGUAGCCAUCAUUAAAGCCGCAUUUUGCCGUUGGAAGUUGUAGUCAAAAUAGGACUGGAUAGACUACUGGGAUAUAAAAUAUUUUGCUAUGUCUUAUCUACUAUUUGGUUAAUAGUAAUAAUAAAAUUGGAUAGUUGCAUAUUAUAUUAUGUCAAUUAUUUAGUACCGUUGACCCCUAAAUUUUUGGGGUUGAUUUAAAAAAAAAACAUAGCAUAUAGUUUAGAAACAUUUUAUUUUCAUUUUGUUUUAUUUUAUUUUAGACCGCCGGUGAAGAGAAGAUUUUUUACAUAUUCCGUUCAAGUUUUUCGUAUUUUUAGGCAAUAUACACUAAAUGAUGUAUUUUUGAGCAAAAAGAAAAAUUUUAGAUAGAAUAUAUGAAAAAUACAAAAGAAAAUAUCACGUGUGGUGCAAUGAUAUAUUCAGAAAAUUAUGCACGAGUAAAAUUGGAAACAAAAUACACUUCAAAAAUCUAAAUUUAUUGUGCACGUACGGACGAGGAGGGGAGGAAUUUCGAAAAAAUUUGGAGCAAAAGGAGGGCCUUCUUCGGUUUUAGGAGAGAGAGAGAAAAAAAAAAAAGAAAGGGAAAAGAAGAGAAGAGACGUGAGCGGCAGAGAGUGAACAGUGAGGUUGAUGUGAGGAGAGAAAAGAAAAAGAAAAUAAGAACCACUGUUCUUCUUCUUCGUAGGUUUUGCCUCCGGUGUUCCUCUGCUGCCCGAGCUACCGCGUCGUCGCAGCCGCACCACCGCGCCUCCACUUCCGCCGGCCACCGUUGCUCGUUGCUCCACCCGCGGCGACGCGACGCCAGCAGUCCCGACGCUAACCUGAAGCUCCGCCAAGCCGCGACCCGAUCCCUCGCUCCUCCGCAGCAGAUCUACCCCGAGAUGCCGCGACGCUGCUAUAGCCCCUGACCUGAGCACGAUUCGCACUGCCCGAGACGAUCCACAGGAGCCUGCGCCCCGAUCCGAUUCUCUCACCGGACGUCGCGCCCUACAGCCAGAUCCAGACGCCGAAGCUUCUCGCCGCAGCUGCCCGAGGCCUCCUGCCGUCCCUGCAGCGCCCCACCGUUCGAAGCCUGUGACCCGACGACCCGCGAUCCACGAUCCGUGCUCCAGCUCCGCCAACCCUCGUUGCCCCGCGCCGGACGUGCUGCUCGUCGUGCCCUCGCCGGAACCCUUCGCCAGAGCCCCGAACCGGUGGUCAAGAUUUUUUUAAUUAUUAAAAAAAAGAAAAAAUUGAAUUAGGUAGAUUUGCUUUAUUUUAUUAGGCUGGUUUAUUUUAUUUUUUAUAUCUUGGUUUCUUUGUUUGAAAUAUUUCUCCAUGCAUAAUUGGAAAUCUCAAUAUAUUACCUGAUUUGCAACCUCGCAACCGUGCCAGGGUUUUUUUUUUUUUUUAAUUUCAUCUAUAAGGCUUUCGAUGAAAUAAUAAUUAAUCAAGUGGGAAUAAAAUUGAUAUUUUGAUCUUUAAGGCUUAAGAUCAAUUUAUCGAUUUUACUAGCGAAAUAUUAUUUUUUGAUCUGAACGAUGUGUGAUAUUUUUUUGGGUAAUUUUGAAUGGACUUGAUUGCUUUAUUUAUCUUGAAAUAUGUCUGAGUUAGAAUAUUACAUGUUUUAGGGUUAUUUGCAUAUUUAGGCUAAGCAUUAUGUUUAUAAUGAAUUUUCGAAAAUAAAAAAAAAUAAAAAAAUCAAAUCAAUCAAUUUAGGUUGCUGGAUUUUUAAUUUGGAUUGCAUGUUUAAUUAUUUGACAAUUAUUAAUUUCGAAAUGAAACAAAAACAACAAAAAAAAAAUCGUCAUAUACAUGUCAUGUAGAGUUAAAGAAUAUUUUGCACGUCAUUGCAUAUUAGGGUAAUGUUGCACUUAGUUUAAUUUUAGAUAAUAUUUUUCUUAAUUUAUUAUGUGUUUAAGUAUUUUCUUAAAUAAAUUGCAUUUUAGAAUUAUUUAGGUUAAGAUAAUAUUUUAGUUUAAAUUAGGAUUUGGCUCAACCUAAUUCCUAAUAUAAAUUAAAUAGGAUCUUAAUCUAGUUAGGUAAUUUUCACAUUUUACCAAAUUUCAAAUUUCAUGAAAAAAUACUAAAAAAAAAUGUCAUAGGUUAAAUUAGUUUUAUUAUUUAGGAUAAAAUGCAUUCUUUUAGGAAAAAAAAUGUCAUGUGUACGUCAUUAGGGUUAGAUUCACUGAGGUGCAUGUCAUUUAGUAUUUUUGUUAGUUAUUUAGUAUUUUUGUUAGGCCCAUUUAAUUAGAAAUUACAUGUCAUUAGAAUUAGGUCAUUUAGUUAAUAUUGCAUUGCAUAUCGCAUGAUUUUCAUUAAUUAAGUGAAAACAAAAAAUUGUGUGUUAAUUAGAAACCAUAUCUAGGGUUGUUGAUGUUGAUUUUAAUUUAACAUUGCAGAUACUUUCGUUAUUUUGAGGUAAAUUUUUGCAAUUUAUUUAUUAUUAAUCUGGGUGUUAAAUUAGUGGAUUGCGCACCCACAUGAUCACAUCACAUGUUAGGGAGAUAAAUUUAAAAUCAAUCCAAAUUGCUUGCCAAACAUUUUUCAAAAUAAAAAAAAGGUACCAAAAGGGCAUUAGAGGAAUCUAGUGUAACCAAGUCCUCGUAUCUAUAGUCUCUAGUUCAUAAGAGUAAAGUAAAUCUCCCGUUAUUUUACUUGGGUUUCUAAUCGACCCAUCAAAAAUAGAUUAGUGGUGACUCCUAAUUGAAAAUCAAUGUUCAUAAGAGUAAAGUAAAUCUCCCGAAUUAGUAAGGGUUUGAGAGAGCCCGAGUUAAGUCUAGGCUUAACAAUCCAUUCACAUCCAAAAAAUUUGGUCACGACAAGUACAAACAUAAGUCGCGAAUUAGUAAGGGUUUGAGAGAGCCCGAGUUAAGUCUAGGCUUAACAAUCCAUUCACAUCCAAAAAAUUUGGUCACGACAAGUACAAACUUGAAAAUACAUAAAUGGAAAUUGUAAGAAUCUUUCACAGUUCAUAGUUUAAAAAACACAAAUGUACAGACGAAAAUAACUUCCAUCAAUCAUCAUGAUUAUUGUACUAUCUAAAUAUGAAAUAGCGAAAAAGCUCAUUGCAACAUUCUAGAUCCACACAUUCAACUAUAAUAAGAAAUAAAUAAGCUCCAAUAACAUUGACACAUUACAUCUACUAGCAAAUGCCAAAUCUAGUAGGAAAGGAAACACAAUCAUUCAACUUUGUGACUCCAAAAAGUAUAGUGCUUUGACUCUUUUGCCACUUUUGUGCACCUUCAACUUGAACCAUAAAGUUAAGGAGCUGAAUGAGUUUCGACUCCCUUGCUGCUUUCAUUGACUUUUAACGUGAACUAAAGAGUUAUGUAGGAAAAUGAGCUUGAACUCUCUCGUCAUCUUCAGGGAGCUUUGACAUGAUCCAAAAACUAUGAAAGAAUUGUGAAGUUUCAACAAAACUCAGAGAUACAAAAGAGAAGGAGAUGGAGAGCAUAUAUCUUUCACUGAUAUUCAUCUUCGAUUUUUAUUAAGAGGAGACAAGUUUGUGGUGAUUCCAGACAAAUGUUGUAUCAAUAGAACACAAAAAACACAUAUACUUCAAUGGAAUUUUAUCAACGAUAUGAUGAUAUAAAAAGUUUUGCUGAAAUUUUAUUGACAACAAAGCGCGCUGAUAAAUACACAACAUCAAAAUUUAAUCAACGACGAAGAUCUAAAGUCCGACUAGCAACCAGAUUUGGAGCUUAAACUCCAUUUGUUUCGCGAAAAAUAUUUUCUGAAAAAUGAAUUAGUUGGAGAAACCAUUUUUCAUGAAUGGAAAAAAAAAGUCUUCUAAGAUAGCGGAAAGUGGAAAACAUUUUCCCCAAUUACUUGCUCUUAUCUCAUACUCAUGUUAACCUUUUUAUCUUUUUUUUUUCUAAAUAAAAAAUUGAAUUUUUAAUUCUUUUUCAUUUCCUUUUUAUUUUUUUAAAGUUCUGUCUUGGUCAUUUACUAGCCACGAUGAUCGUUGGCGACCGGCUACAAGCGAGCCUCGAGCUUGAGCCUAGCUUGCCACUUACCUGAUAGAUGGCGAGCCAAGCGAGUAGUGAGCUCGGGCCUCCUCAGAUAGGCGAGCAUGAGCCUUUGGCUUGUAGAUCUAGCGAGCGGUGAGCUCUAGCUCGUUUGCCGACGUUGAGUGAGCUCAAGCUCACCUUCAAUUGGUUGUCGAUCGUCAUCGUGGUCAGCAAUUGGCUGAAGAAGAGGAAGAAAAAAAUAAAGAAAAGAAAAAGAAAAUAAGAAUAAAAAUAUAAAAUAGUUUAAAAAUCAAUUUUUAAAUAUGAAAAAUAAUUAAAUUAUAUUUUAAAAAAUAAAAAUAAUAAAAAAUAUUGAAAAGGACUGCAUGAGAUAAAAAAUGUUCCUUACUGAACAACGUAAAAUACCGAACACCAAAAAGUAAUUACAUUUUUUUGAAAAAUGACUUUUUGGAAAAUAUUUUUCAGAAACGUUACAUUUUUUGCGAAACGAAUAGAGCCUUAGAUAGGGAGAAGAUGAAUCCAAAUCCCGCAAACGAAGAACAUCUCCCGAUCAUAGACCAUCUCCCGAUAACCUUUGACUUUGGGCUCAUGUUGACCGGAAUCCGGAGUGACUAGUAUUGAGAGACGAAGAACACUAGAAAUGAGGGAAAGAUUGGAAUUUGAAAUAUUAUCUACUGAUCCUAAGAGAAAUUUUCGAGAACACUUUUUUGUCGGUCGAAAGAAAAUUUUCGAGAACGCUAAGAAGCCAAAGAAAGGAUGAGUUGCCUUGGACUCUAAGCUUAGCCAAUGCUAGCUUUGAGUCAAAGUGAUCCAUAAAUUUGUUACCAAAACACUACAAUUUUCGCUGGAAAGACAUUGAAGACCUAAAGUCCCUUCCGAAGCCACACGCAGUCGAACCUUGUUUUGUUAAAAAUAUGGAAAAAAAAUUAAAAUAUUCGUGGAGUGAUUAAGAAAUCUAUCGUCAAUGCACGACUAUUGUAACCAAAAAAAAAAAAAAACAAUAGGUAAUAACUUUUUAUGUUAGGUAUGCAAGAUCGAUAUAUAAAUAUAUGUUAAUGUAAUGUGAUCAAAUAUAGACACAAGUGGACAUUCAAAUAACAAAAGCCUGUCCCAUCAAAUUCAUAUUAAUGAGCCUAGCUUUAUUUGCUAGACAAUUGAGUCAGUUCUCUUCAUUGCCUUAUUCAAUCGCGUGGAGCCCAAUAUCGAGUGGGUAGAUCCCGAACUCAAGGAAUACCUAACUUAUUUCAUCAAUCAAGUAAGACAUAAGAUGAAAUUCUGAUCGAUGGCCUAAAAUGCUCUAUUUGUCCCAAGAGAACAUCAUAUAAGUGGGAUCAAUUUUUCACACAUGCACAAAGAGUACAAUACCGAUUUUCCCUCCUAACAUCGCAGGAAUGUUUCACUGUUUAUAUCUUCAAGGCAGUAGAAGCUGCGGCUUUCAUUUCGAGCAAAGCAUCCUCAAAGCACUUGGCCAGGAAAUCAGGGUCGGGGAUGAUGUCCUUGGCCACCAGAAUCUGCAUGUCCGCCCUCCCCGCAUAGCUCACCAUGUGCAUCGUGAGUGCCUGCAUAUACCGCAUCUCAAACACCCCACAUCAGUCCUGAUAAAGAUUUCAUUCCAGAUACCGCAGAAAAAGAAGGAAAAGAGAGAUGAUGAGGCGCGAGUAUUUUGGAGCCUUACGUGGGGUAAACUCGAGAUGUUCACCCUUAUGUACGUGAUGGGGUUGCCCACGGACGCGAUCUCCUCGUGCGGGCCGAACACGUUCGAGAUGCUGAACGUGGUGUUGCAGAAGAUCCUGUAGUUGAGCAGGCUCGAGGCCUGCAUCAGCAAAAACAAAUAUAGAUUGCGCGGUAGUCAGCAUAUUGUCGUUCUGUUUUCUGAAUUGCAGAAGCGCGGACUUAUCCUUACACGUGCUCCUAGAUAAGUCGUGGCCAUAUCCACGAUUUUGUAGGAGAAGUGAGCCUCCAGGGAUUUCUUCUUCCGGUCAAUCAUCGACUUGGCUUUUCUCACGUGUUCGAGAGGGUCGCCGCAGCUUCUGUGGUAGCGAACGGGGAGGAGGAGAAUCCCGAACUUGUUGCCCCACCGCAGUCCCGGGUCGCCUUCCAUCAAAUUGGUUAGUUCCUGGUUAAUACCAACACCACACUUCAAUUCAAUCAACUUCAGUUAAAAGGAAAAAAAAAAAAAAUUUGAGACUCGCCUGCAAUCCCUGUUGUUCUCGCAAGUUAACAGCUGCCACUCCCGUUAGUCGAGUCCCUUCGCGCACAGCUUACAAAGGCAAAUGAGCAUUUUAGUCACUCGAGAUUCAUCGCCCUUGAAUUGACAAAAAUGGAGUGAAUCGUCGGAAAUGCUAUUCCUUUUUUACCGUUGGGACAUCGGUGGUCCAAGUAUUUGAAGAAGCCGGCUGAUAUGAUCCCAAAAAGAACAUCGUUAAUGGUCUGCAUUUGCAGCAAUGAAUGAGAUUCAUCAUCUGGAAGUUGAGUACAUCAAAAUAUGCAGCAAUGAAUGAGAUUCAUCAUCUGGAAGCUGAGUACAUCAAAAUGCAUUUGUAAUCAUGAAAUACAAGAAAUCCCAGCUGAGAGAGUCGUGCACUCGCCAGAAUCAGCCAACCCUGGGGUCAUUCAAGCAAUCCCAGCCGGCCCUUGGAAUUGCCAACAAUGCUUGGGAUUUACUUCAAUUUGUCAUAGGUGUAUUAGUUUGGUUUUUUUGUGGUGUGAAUCCAAUUUAACAGAAACUAAUGCAGGGUACAUUUGUCACAAAUAUAUCAAUUUAAAGUUUUAAGUAGUUAAAAAAUUAGUUUGGAUAGAUUUAUCAUAGUUUGGGGUGUUUUUAGCCAAAAAAUUGGUUUUUGGUAAAUUUGUCGUAAUUGUAUUCGUUUGGAGUUCUUCGUAGUAUUAAUCCUUUUAAAUAUGAUUGUUUUGUGUUACUAAAAAAAUUAUAAAAAUGCCAUGUCUCCAUUACAUCAUUUAACUACGAUUUAUUGGCCCGACAUACUUUUUUUUAAUGAAAAUUUUAAUUUGAACAAAAAUAUUAAUAGGGAUCACAUUGAAAAAAAAAAGGAUUGUGCAUAAAGUAAAGAUUGAACAUAUUAGAAAAGGGGAUAUGUUUACUAAAAAUCUUAAAAUUUAUCAUAAAUGUGCAAUUGAAUCCUCCUACUUACAAAAAGUGCAAUCAAGUCUUAAAAUUCUUCAAAUUAGUAUAAUUGAGAGAGAGAGAGAGAGAGAGAAUAGGAAAGUAGCAUGAGAAUAAAGUAGAAUUAACAGACCUUAGUAAGAUCUCCGCAUAAAAGGCAAAAGGGCGUCCAAAUCCUGGAAAGAGAUCUUUCUUUGUAUAGAACUCUCCAGUCACCAUGGCUGAAACCUUGCACACAGGAUUAUGAUGUUCACAUUGAUGCCAUUGACAGACAAUAUGAAAGAAAAAGAAAAGGAAAUAAAAGAACAAAUUGGGAGAAACCGACUUUAUCCCCCUCGUCAAAGUGGCGAGUCACCUUGCGCUCUAAGACAUCUGGAAACAUACCAACCUGGAAAGCGACAAAAAAGCAAAAAAUGAAUCAAAUGCAUUCAGUGUAAAGUGAAUGCUAACUUACUUUCUUAUUUGGUUACCUUUUUCAAAAGAUAUGCCUCAAUAUUCUUCAUCGGAGAUUUUGCAAAAUCACCUUUGUUGUAAAGUUCCUUACCAGCCUCAGAUGAAGCAUGGUAGAGUUCAUCACUACUCCUCUGUGAAUUGGCAUCUUCUUCAACAAGAAUCCUAUGUAUAUACUGAUCAACCUGUUUUGCAGAAGCUAAAAAAGCUAAGCUUCUUUCACCAACUGCAAACAAUUAUGGUAAAGGGGAAGACCAAGAGCUCAACUCAUGGACUGCUUUGCAUGCACAUAGCACCGAUAAGAAGAAGUGUAUAACCCUGAGAUGCUGGAGACAACAUGGUGACCAAUAUGUUUAUGGAUAAAGUGAAUCUUGCAGCUCAGUGGAUUACAUUCUUAGCUAAUAGCCACACGCCAUGCUUGCGGACUUCAACAACCGGCAUCUCCAUCCUGUGAUGAAUAGCAAAGAGUUGCAGAUAAUUUAAGGGGUAAGACCUACAAUUAACUUUCUAAUGUCGACCACAGUUACAGUCUCUUACCCUGGUGGGGCUGUUGGCCACCUCAGCAACCCAGUAACAUCACCUUAUUCAGACCAAUAGUUCCAUCAUUUAAAAAGAAAAGAAACUGAUGAUGCUUCAUGAGUUGCUAGCCCUAGACACAAAGUACUCACUUUUAAAACAAACUACAUAUGCUACCUGAAAGAUUUUGCGCCAGAGGAAUGACUAGGGGGAUCAACCCUUGCCUAGAUCCUGGAGACACUAUCGUUUCACCUGCAAGCAAAUAGUUUAAUAAUUAGAAGGACAGGUCCUGUAAUGUCUCAAAACAGGGAAUAAAGAAAAUCAUUAGAUUUUAGUUGAUAUCUUUUAGCUGAAACACUGAUUUUGUGCAUUUUGACCAUUCUACGAUGUUAAUGAACUCUGUCCAACUUCAGGACAUGGGGUGGCUGGCAACAGAAAAGAGUAAUCAUCCCUUCCUAUGAUAAUUUUUUUUUAUGAGUACCUCUUCCUUAUAUAACUAGGAUGCUAGGAUGCUAGGCAGAAAGGAUAUCAACAAUUUCUUGCUCAAAGGUUGGUCAAUACAAAUGAAGAUAGCCAUGACAAGUUUCACUCCAGACAAAUCAUGCCCUAUAUUUGAAAUCAUCCUCUCCACAAAGCAUAAAAUACGAUGAACAGUGAGCAACGCAUCAUCAAUCCAAGGGAGCAAGGUUUGACUUAAAGCUACCUCUCGUUUGAAGCACUUUUAGCAAAUAAUGAAGAUGCUUAGGAGGCUCAGUGGCAGCCACAUCCUUGAUGAAUGAUAAAUGGCCUGCAUUUUGAUUGACAAAUUCCCAAGCAACUCAGCUUAAGGAUGAAAAGGAGCGAACAAUAAUAAUACAGAAAAUAAAAAACCAACGAUGGGAAGGGGAAAAAAAUUUCAUAACACGAGCUUAUCAUUUUCUAAAGCAUCGAUAUGUCACUGCAAACAUGUCAGUUUUCAAACCCAAUAGGAAAAAUGUUUAGCUCUGAGUACGCAAUCGCCUAAACCAAAUCUUUCAGAAAAUAUUUGAGCCCCGCCUCGAGAAGGAACCAUCAGCGAGCAUAUCAUACAUGCUAUAACUAAUGAAAGCUUAACCAUAGAGAUUAGAACUUCAGCUUCGUGCCGCUAUUCUGUCGGCAUUGAACAAAUUAACAACGCCUCAGAUAAAAUUAAGUCAUUCUGUUAACCACAAUCCAUCAUUCAUUGUCGGCCAGCCGAAGCAUAAAGCCCAGCUUGAAUGAAAGGUGCUGUUAUUCAAUCGCACGUGCUCCCUAGACGUUACUACUCCAAUACACUCACUCAAAAGAAAGACAAGCUCAACUCAAUCCGAUCUCGAAAGGCAUCACCACAUCCGCAUUGCCUCCCCCCCGCAAAGAAAUCAGGGGGGUUCACGAGUAAGUCGUCGGGAUGCGGCAAAUUCAAUCAACGCAUUGAGAUUACUUCAGUACCAUCCAAAGCUUAACGAAACAGAGAAAUGGGUCUUUUAUCCGCGAGUAAUUUAACCGGGAAAAAGUGGGGAAAAGGCAAAUUUCACCGAGAGAGAGAGAGAGAGAAAGGGGGAGAGAGUACCGGAAGAAGAGGAAGAGCAUUUGACGGCAGCUCUGACGCGUGGCAGGGGAAGUAGGGUCGCGCCAGGAGCUCCAUGAAGCACUCCCACCUUCAUUCUUCUUCUUCUCUUUGGCUCUGCAAUCUCGGACAUGAACCUGCGGCUGCGUCCAUCGCCAUUUCUAAAUUCCUCGAAGUGGAUAAGAGACCCCCCCGGACGGGUGGCGACACGGUCCGAGCCAUUCAAUUCCGCGAUGCUCUCGAAUCUUUCGACUUCCGCUCGCCCUCACGAGUCACGUGACACUCACCCUCCUCGUUUCCCUCUCUAUUUUUUUACUUUUUAUUUUUUACCCUUGGGAACCGCCGGUUGGUAUUUUAACUUAGCCAUUGGUGUGAUUCUUGUGAAGCGUUUCAUCUUUCUCGGAAUGUCUUUGUUCUUUUUUUUUUUUUAAAGAAAUUAUUCGAGGUCUUUAUAUGUUACAAUUGUCAUCUUAUUCAUCAAAUGAUAUGAUUCGUUAAGGGUGCAUUUUUGGGAGAGUUUUGAAUUCAUUUCCCAAAAAAAUAAUUAUUUAUGGUUCAUUUAUUUAAAAUAAAUAUCGUUUGGUUCGAUGAAUAUAAAUAAAUAUAUAUUUAUUGCGGAAUAGCUUUGAAGUGAAAAUAAAAUAGGGACAAGAGAGGAAUACUCGUUGAACUAGAACCAGAGAAAAAGGGUAUUCUUUGCUUGCGACCAUCGUGGAAGCAGACCGGUUGAGGCAAAUCUAACCCUGGCAAUGAUUGACCCGUCGAAGAAGCCAAGCGAGACAACGUCGAGGGUCGCACGACCUCAACAAUCCAGAUCCUCGCAAAUCCAUGUUAUCGACGAUCAAGACCUACGAUGGACAACCGAACCUAGACCCUUGACGACCCUCGGCCAUCCUCAUUAACUUUGGGCAACCGUCGAGCCAAGCACAAUUGUCCGACUAGCAACCAGAUUUGGAGCUUAAACUCCAUUUGUUUUGCGAAAAAUAUUUUCUAGAAAAUGAAUUAGUUGGGGAAACCAUUUUUCAUGAAUGGAAAAAAAGUCUUCUAAGAUAGCGGAAAGUGGAAAACAUUUUCCCCAAUCACUUGCUCUUAUCUCAUACUCAUGUUAACCUUUUUAUCUUCUUUUUUUCUAAAUAAAAAAUUGAAUUUUUAAUUCUUUUUCCUUUCCUUUUUUUUUUUUGAGUUUUGUCUUGGUCAUUUACCAGCCACGACGAUCGUUGGCGACUGGCUACAAGCGAGCCUCGAGCUCGAGCCUAGCUUGCCACUUACCUGAUAGAUGGCGAGCCAAGCAAGUAGCGAGCUCGGGCCUCCUCAGAUAGGCGAGCACGAGCCUUUGGCUUGUAGAUCUAGCGAGCGGUGAGCUCUAGCUCGCUUGCCGACGUCGGGCGAGCUCAAGCUCGCCUUCAAUUGGUUGUCGAUCGUCAUCGUGGUCAGCAAUUAGUCGAAGAAGAGGCAGAAAAAAUAAAGAAAAGAAAAAGAAAAAAGAAAAAAGAAAUAAAAUAUAAAAUAGUUUAAAAAUCAAUUUUUAAAUAUAAAAAAUAAUUAAAUUAUAUUUUAAAAAUAAAAAUAAUAAAAAAUAUUGAAAAGGACCGCAUGAGAUAAAAAAUGUUCCUUACCGAACAGCGUAAAAUACCGAACACUAAAAAGUAAUUAUAUUUUUCUGAAAAAUGACUUUUUGGAAAAUAUUUUUCAAAAACGUCACAUUUUUUGCGAAACAAAUGGAGCCUUUAGAUAAGGAGAAGAUGAAUCCAAAUCCUGCAAACAAAGAACAUCUCCCGAUAACCUUUGACUUUGGGCUCAUGUUGACCGGAAUCCGGAGUGACUAGUAUUGAGGACGAAGAACACUAGAAAUGAGGGAAAUAUUGGCAUUUGAAAUAUUAUCUACUGAUCCUAAGAGAAAUUUUCGAGAACACUUUUUUGUCGGUCGAAAGAAAAUUUUCGAGAACGCUGAGAAGCCAAAGAAAGGACGAGUUGCCUUGGACUCUAAGCUUAGCCAAUGCUAGCUUUGAGUCAAAGUGAUCCAUAAAUUUGUUACCAAAACACUACAAUUUUCGCUGGAAAGACAUUGAAGACCUAAAGUCCCUUCCGAAGCCACACGCAGUCGAACCUUGUUUUGUUAAAAAUAUGGAAAAGAAAUUAAAAUAUUCGUGGAGCGAUUGAGGCAUCUAUCGUCAAUGCACGACUAUUGUAACCGAAAAAAAAAAAAAACAAUAGGUAAUAAAUUUUUAUGUUAGGUAUGCAAGAUCAAUAUAUAAAUGUAUGUUAAUGUGAUGUGAUCAAAUAUAGACAUAAGUGGACAUUCAAAUAACAAAAGCCCGUCCCAUCAAAUUAAUAUUAAUGAACCUAGCUUUAUUUGCUAGACAAUCGAGUCAGUUCUCUUCAUUGCCUUAUUCAAUCGUGUGGAGCCCAAUAUCGAGUGGGUAGAUCCCGAACUCGAGGAAUACCUAACUUAUUUCAUCGAUCAAGUAAGACAUAAGACGAAAUUCUGAUCGAUGGCCUAAGAUGCUCUAUUUGUCCCAAGAGAACAUCAUAUAAGUGGGAUCAAUUUUUCACACAUGCAUAAAGAGUACAAUACCGAUUUUCCCUCCUAACAUCGCAGGAAUGUUUCACUGUUUAUAUCUUCAAGGCAGUAGAAGCUGCGGUUUUCAUUUCGAGCAAAGCAUCCUCAAAGCACUUGGCCAGGAAAUCAGGGUCGGGGAUGAUGUCCUUGGCCACCAGAAUCUGCAUGUCCGCCCUCCCCGCAUAGCUCACCAUGUGCAUCGUGAGUGCCUGCAUAUACCGCAUCUCAAACACCCCACAUCAGUCCUGAUAAAGAUUUCAUUCCAGAUACCGCAGAAAAAGAAGGAAAAGAGAGACGAUGAGGCGCGAGUAUUUUGAAGCCUUACGUGGGGAAAACCAGAGGUGUUCACCCUCAUGUACGUGAUGGGGUUGCCCACGGACGCGAUCUCCUCGUGCGGGCCGAACACGUUCGAGACGCUGAACGUGGUGUUGCAGAAGAUCCUGUAGUUGAGCAGGGUCGCAGCCUGCAUCAGCAAAAACAAAUAUAGAUUGCGCGGUAGUCAGCAUAUUGUCGUUCUGUUUUCUGAAUUGCAGAAGCGCGAACUUAUCCUUACACGUGCUCCUAGAUAAGUCGUGGCCAUAUCCACGAUUUUGUAGGAGAAGUGAGCCUCCAGGGAUUUCUUCUUCCGGUCAAUCAUCGACUUGGCUUUUCUCACGUGUUCGAGAGGGUCGCCGCAGCUUCUGUGGUAGCGAACGGGGAGGAGGAGAAUCCCGAACUUGUUGCCCCACCGCAGUCCCGGGUCGCCUUCCAUCAAAUUGGUUAGUUCCUGGUUAAUACCAACACCACACUUCAAUUCAAUCAACUUCAGUUAAAAGGAAAAAAAAAAAAAUUUGAGACUCGCCUGCAAUCCCUGUUGUUCUCGCAAGUUAACAGCUGCCACUCCCGUUAGUCGAGUCCCUUCGCGCACAGCUUACAAAGGCAAAUGAGCAUUUUAGUCACUCGAGAUUCAUCGCCCUUGAAUUGACAAAAAUGGAGUGAAUCGUCGGAAAUGCUAUUCCGUUUUUACCGUUGGGACAUCGGUGGUCCAAGUAUUUGAAGAAGCCGGCCGAUAUGAUCCCGAAGAGAACAUCGUUAAUGGUCUGCAUUUGCAACAAUGAAUGAGAUUCAUCAUCUGGAAGCUGAGUACAUCAAAAUGCAUUUGUAAUAAUGAAAUACAAGAAAUCCCAGCUGAGAGAGUCGUGCACUCACCAGGGUCAGCCAACCCUGGGGGUCAUUCAAGCAAUCCCAGCCAGCCCUUGGAAUUGCCAACAAUGAUUAGGAUUACUUCAAUUUGUCAUAGUUGUACUAAUUUUGUUUUGUUUUGUUUUUUUUUUUUUGUGAACAAAAAUUAAUGCAUGGUACAAAUAUACCAGUUUAAAGUUUUUAGUAGUUAAAAAAUUCGUUUGGAUAAAGUUAUCAUAGUUUGAGGUUUUUUAGGCGAAAAAAUUGGUUUUUGAUAAAUUUGCCAUAAUUGUACUCAUUUGGAGUUCUUUGUAGUAUUAAUCCUUUUAAAUAUGAUUGUUUUGUGUUACUAAAAAAAAAUUAUAAACAUGACAUCUCUCCAUUACAUCAUUUAACUACGAUUUAUCAGCCCAUCAUACUUUUUUUUUAAUGAAAAUUUUAAUUUGAACACAAAUAUUAAUAGGGAUCACAUUGAAAAAAAAAAGAUUGUGCAUAAAGUAAAAAUUGAACAUAUUAGAAAAGGGGAUAUGUUUACUAAAAGUCUUAAAACUUGUCACGAAAGUGCAAUUGAAUUCUAAUACUUACAAAAAGUGCAAUCAAGUCCUAAAAUUCAUCAAAUUAGUAUAAUUGAGUAUUUAUGUUAACUUCGUCUAUUUAAACUAACAGAAAAUAAUGACGGGGCUUUUUUAAAUAUUUUUUUUCUCUUUUAUGUGGCGAUCACAUGACAAUAACAUAGAACACUAGGUUGAAACAAUGUCGUUUUGGAUUUAAUACUAAUUUUUUAGUCAUAAGCGUAAUUAAAUUAAAUAAAAAAUAUUUAUAAACAAGCACAAAUAAAAGAGCCAAGGCAAGGGUAGAGGUCCUUGCUGACGGCCACCCCGUCACUGGAAAGGGCCAAAUGGGCAGCUGCGGCAAGGGCCUACCGCCCUUGCCAAUAGCUUAAUUUUUUUUCUUUUUUUAAAUACUUUUUUAUUUAAUUUAAUUAAUAUUUGGGUUAAAUAAAUUAUAAUUUAAAUCACAUCAUUGCCACGUAGGAUGGAGAAAAUAUUAAAAAAGUCACGUUAGAUUUUCCAUUAGUCUAAAUAAAAGAAGUUAAAAGAAGAACUCGAUUAUAAUAAUUUAACAAGUUUUAAAACUUAAUUACACUUUUAUGAUAAGUUUUAGGACUUUUUGUGUACUUAUCUAGAAAAGUAUUGAAUAUGUGGUGCUAUUAUUCUUUUUGGGCGAUAAACAUGUAAAACUUUGGAACUGACCGCAUUUGCCACCGCCGACUUGACCACUUUCAUGUCCUCCAGCAAAAACUUCGCCGUGGCCAGCUUCCUCGGCCAGUGUUCCACCCCUGCGCCACCGCUCACCGGCGUCCUCCGAUCACUCAUCCACAUGCUCUGUAGCACGAACUCCACCACAAAGACCAAUGUGAACCACAUCACCCCCAACACCCCCACUACUGCCUUCCACCACUCGCCGCUGCCACCCUUCCUCCUCUUAGCUGAUGACGGAGGACCGAUUGUCGGCAGCGCCUCGGGGUCGUCCACCUGCCGGCACGAGGCCAGGAACAUUGACAUCAGCAAGAUCCCAUCGCCGAGUGCAUGGUGGAUCCGGAACACCAUGCACCGGUGGGCCAUCAGAAGGUGGACGUCCCACGGGGGCUUGUCGUCGCCUAGGAGCCCCGGUGAGUCAGUGGACAGGUCGCCGAGGUACUCGUUGACAGCUACCUCGUCAGAGAGGCCUUCGGCGAUGGGGCCGUGGACUGGGACGACAUGGCGGUUAAUGUCCACAUGGGUCCUCCUCCAAUGCUCUCGGCCUGCGGAGUCCCGCACCAUGAGGCUGCAGAACCUAGGGUGCGUAAACAUGGGGGAGCUCUGGAUCGCCGACUUGAGGGCCUCAACAUCGAGGGGUUGCGCCAUGCCGAUGGCGCUGUAGAUUACCUGGUUCAUCUCCUUCUGCAGGAACAGGCGUCCUCCCGGUGUCAGGGGCUCGUCGGAGCCGUUCUCCAGGGACCCCAUGCCUGCGUGAAGAUUGAAAAGGAGGGAAUCUUCAGUACGGUUGGGAUGGUGAGAAAAUAACAACAGUGCUGGCGGCUCGCACACGAAUCAGAAUCUAAAGGUGUAGUCUAUAAAUCGAAACUUUUGUCCGUGAGGUAGGAAAGGGGGAAGGAGUGCGAGAGUAUUGGAUUUGGAAUUUUCAGGCGAGGUUGCGCGAGGCUCUCUGGCAUUUGCUUGAGAAUAUGUUGGCUGCACCUGUUGAGAGAACUUAACUGGAAGAAGAGACGGGGAGAAAUGAUAUCCACGAGCGGUUUGUCUUCACG
This 16415-nucleotide long non-coding RNA is filed under the name Eucalyptus grandis. RNAcentral's name for it is "long non-coding RNA (EGRA_LNC005603)". Lineage: Eukaryota; Viridiplantae; Streptophyta; Magnoliopsida; Myrtales; Myrtaceae. The record is from RNAcentral.